GUAAACAUUGGAUGAAAUUUUUUAUUAUAUAAAGUGAUCAGACAAUUCAACAUUUGAUAUAUGCAAAUCCUUUUUAUUAAUAGAAUGGCUGAAAUUCUCAAGUUUAUUUAUAAUGCGAUCCUUUUUGUUUCUUUGUAUUUUAUUGUAAUUUAUGGCGAAUUAGUGUGUGAUACUGAUGACGAUUGCCUGAAAUUUUUUCCUGACAAUCCAUAUCCCAUGGAGUGCAUCAACAGUAUUUGUCUUUCCUUGACCGACUAAGGUUAUCCUCAAAACAAGAUUGAGGAGUGAUAUCAAUGUGUUUGUGUAUAAGAAUAAAGUGGAUAUUUAUGAUCUCACCUAUAUUAUAUUUUUAUUUAAAGUUUUAUUGAUCAGUGUUUAUGUUUAAAUAGGGUUCUAGUCACUGAUAUUGUGACAUCAGGGACAAGUUUAAUAAUUUGAUCUUGACUUAUUAUCUUGGAAACUAAGAAAACAUUACAUAUUUUAUUUUAUAUUAUGGAUAAUUGUAAGGCUCUAAUAAGGAAAAAUAUUUUAUUUUGAGUUAUGGAAUUAAAUUUCUACUUGUCA
Molecule: long non-coding RNA, 564 nt
Organism: Medicago truncatula (barrel medic)
Lineage: Eukaryota; Viridiplantae; Streptophyta; Magnoliopsida; Fabales; Fabaceae
Exons: 3
Source: RefSeq, a predicted model, not a curated record